AUCUGCGAUAAGCGCCGGUAAGGUGAUAUGAACCGUUAUAACCGGCGAUACCCGAAUGGGGAAACCCAGUGUGACUCGUCACACUAUCAUUAACUGAAUCCAUAGGUUAAUGAGGCGAACCGGGGGAACUGAAACAUCUAAGUACCCCGAGGAAAAGAAAUCAACCGAGAUUCCCCCAGUAGCGGCGAGCGAACGGGGAGGAGCCCAGAGCCUGAAUCAGCAUGUGUGUUAGUGGAAGCGUCUGGAAAGGCGCGCGAUACAGGGUGACAGCCCCGUACACAAAAGCGCAUGUGCUGUGAGCUCGAUGAGUAGGGCGGGACACGUGGUAUCCUGUCUGAAUAUGGGGGGACCAUCCUCCAAGGCUAAAUACUCCUGACUGACCGAUAGUGAACCAGUACCGUGAGGGAAAGGCGAAAAGAACCCCGGCGAGGGGAGUGAAAAAGAACCUGAAACCGUGUACGUACAAGCAGUGGGAGCACCCUUUGGGUGUGACUGCGUACCUUUUGUAUAAUGGGUCAGCGACUUAUAUUCUGUAGCAAGGUUAACCGAAUAGGGGAGC
RNAcentral lists this ribosomal RNA (559 nucleotides) under Salmonella enterica. Its description in RNAcentral is "partial 23S ribosomal RNA". It matches the Rfam family "Bacterial large subunit ribosomal RNA", at positions 64 to 666 of the family's 2925-position model. Lineage: Bacteria; Pseudomonadati; Pseudomonadota; Gammaproteobacteria; Enterobacterales; Enterobacteriaceae. RNAcentral also lists the same sequence under 1 other name. The record is from RNAcentral.